Long non-coding RNA from Thalassophryne amazonica, 536 nucleotides. RefSeq lists it as uncharacterized. The transcript has 3 exons. The record is from RefSeq and is a predicted model, not a curated record. Lineage: Eukaryota; Metazoa; Chordata; Actinopteri; Batrachoidiformes; Batrachoididae.
GAGAUGUGAAAGAGAAGAGGAGGAACAAAGAAGUGAAGAGAGAACUUCAGUGAUGAACGCAGCUCGAAUUCAUGACAAACACAAGCUGAAGUCGUUCUGGGAGCAGAGGAUCAUCCAGCACAGCGAGCUCAUGGACGAGGAGGAGAACAGAGUGAGGAGCAGCGCUCUGACCCGGCUGAGGGCCGAGUGGUUGGUCCGCUUGAGUCAGAGAAACCACAACCAGCAGAGUUUCUGUGAGGAGCAACUCACACAAGCUCAGAAAUCCUAGCAGAGCCUCCAAACAACAAACUCAUCCUGAAAAAUCAGAUCUGCCGUCCCUCCACCAAUCAGAUCCCAGCUGCUGGUGUGGACAUGAACAUUUAUUAUGUAAUGUGGUACGGUGGUCGUGAUGUGCAAAACGUGACAUCAGCAAUGGAAAGUCAUUAACGGAGCAGUCUGAACACAUUUAGAAUAGUCACUUUGUGGAGCCACUCAUUAAUGUGUGACUGCAGGAUAAAUGUCUAGAUUAAGACAAGUGCGUUUUGCUCAGCAGCACU